CUUUUGUUAGGGGAGAAACCUGUAUCAUUAAUAGUGGUACAGCUGACGGUACCUGACGAAUAAGCCACGGCAAACUCCGUGCCAGCAGCCGCGGUAAUACGGAGGUGGCAAGCGUUACUCGGAAUUAUUGGGUGUAAAGGGCAGGUAGGUGGUCUUGCAAGUGAGAGGUGAAAUCCCACGGUUCAAUCGUGGAACUGCCUUUCAAACUGCUUGACUUGAGAGUGUUAGGGGAGAAUGGAAUUCCCGGUGU
This 250-nucleotide ribosomal RNA is filed under the name uncultured organism. RNAcentral's name for it is "partial 16S ribosomal RNA". It matches the Rfam family "Bacterial small subunit ribosomal RNA", at positions 433 to 676 of the family's 1533-position model. The record is from RNAcentral.